GAUGAACGCUGGCGGCGUGCCUAAUACAUGCAAGUCGAGCGAACAGAUGAGGAGCUUGCUCCUCUGACGUUAGCGGCGGACGGGUGAGUAACACGUGGAUAACUUACCUAUAAGACUGGGAUAACUACGGGAAACCGGAGCUAAUACCGGAUAAUAUAUUGAACCGCAUGGUUCAAUAGUGAAAGACGGUUUUGCUGUCACUUAUAGAUGGAUCCGCGCCGCAUUAGCUAGUUGGUAAGGUAACGGCUUACCAAGGCAACGAUGCGUAGCCGACCUGAGAGGGUGAUCGGCCACACUGGAACUGAGACACGGUCCAGACUCCUACGGGAGGCAGCAGUAGGGAAUCUUCCGCAAUGGGCGAAAGCCUGACGGAGCAACGCCGCGUGAGUGAUGAAGGUCUUCGGAUCGUAAAACUCUGUUAUUAGGGAAGAACAAAUGUGUAAGUAACUAUGCACGUCUUGACGGUACCUAAUCAGAAAGCCACGGCUAACUACGUG
This 497-nucleotide ribosomal RNA is filed under the name uncultured bacterium. RNAcentral describes it as "partial 16S ribosomal RNA". It matches the Rfam family "Bacterial small subunit ribosomal RNA", at positions 28 to 507 of the family's 1533-position model. The record is from RNAcentral.